GCAACCUGCUCAUAAACCUCCAUAGGAGAAAUCUCCUGCUAGUGCUGCUCCUUUCAGGCAGAAAUCAGGAGAACAUCAGGAGUGGGGUCUCCUCAGAGCCUCACACCACAGAGCUAAGCAGAGUGUGAGGUGAAUUCCCCAUUGAGGGAGCUGUGGCACUGGAGACGAGUAGUUUCAAAUUGUCUUCAGUUACCUAGAAACCCGUGUAAGGAGGUGUAAAUGUUCUGGGUUAAAGCAAGGCAAGGUGUGCGGGCAGAAAUCACAGAGCUCUUGCUGGGUCAGCAGCUGAUGUUGCAGAUGAGCUGUGAAGAAAGCAGACAGGCUUUUGGGCACAGCAGGGCACCAAAGGCAUCCCAGGGUGGCUCCUGAUUCACAGUGCCCCCACAUCACUGGGUGCUGGCCUUGGGGACUCCUGCCUAAUUCUCCUCUUGGAUGGAGACCCAACCUGCUGCAGGGCCACUCGUGUGUGAGCCAGCCCUCCGUGUGCCCCAGUUUGCCUUUUGUAAAAC
RNAcentral lists this long non-coding RNA (509 nucleotides) under Zonotrichia albicollis (white-throated sparrow). Its description in RNAcentral is "lncRNA (ENSZALG00000003502.1)". Lineage: Eukaryota; Metazoa; Chordata; Aves; Passeriformes; Passerellidae. The record is from RNAcentral.